UUCUCCGUGGCUGUGGGCAAGCCGAGAGUUUGUUGACGGUGUACGUCUCACGGUAACUGUGCUUCGUUACGUUAUCGAAAAAUGUGAGAUAAAUAGACUGACGUCUCGCUGUUUAUCCUCGGAAGACAUUACAAUACUUUAUGUCCUACAAUGCCGCCCAAAACAAGGCACCUGCUGGUUUGCAGUUAGCGGCGGAGCAAGAUGCUAGCAGUAGCAGCUGUCUCGCAGUAAAGAUGGAACUUCUGGACCAGUUGAAUAAAAGGCAGACCGGCACAAGGUUUAUGCCUGUCUGUAGCCAUUAUGGCAUAAAUGAAUCUUCGGUCCGCUUCAUAUAGAAGGACGAAAAUAAUAUCUGGGUGACAGCCGCAGUACAAUCGACAUCAACUUUAAUGAAAGCGAAAAGCAGCACUUAGUGGAUACUGACACGGCUGCAAUUUCUAGAGCCCCAUAGCAAAAGGAAGGUGGCCAUGUCUAUUGUCUAAACAGCGUAAAUGGACUAUUUUCAACAGGAAUCUUCAGUGGCUGCAGUUGAAUCUGUGCCACUACUCUAGAGGAGCCCUGCUUCAUUGAGGCUGACCAAAGGUCUGGUACUGCCCUGGCAGAAUCCACCAUGUAUGACAGGGAGACAUCAUCCUCAGAAGAUGGAUAAGAACCUUCGCUUAUCGCCUGCAGCCUAUCAUGUACUCCAAUCACCUGUCCAGCUCAAGUUCGCACUUCAGUGUGUAAACACAGCGGUUGUCAGAUUGUAUGCUUGCUGUAAGUAAAAAUAAUCAAAGUCAGGAAGACUAAAAGGAUGAAAUCAAUGCUGCUCACUCACGCUUAUGCUGAGAUUGGGUAUUCAAGCAUUGUGUAAUUUGUUGGGAGCCGUGUGAAAGACAAGACAACAACAAACCUCUUCAGAAGCCUCAGUCGUUACGUCAUCCUUCAGGCUGCAAGAAAUGGAUGUGCUUCAUUUUGCCACCCAUAAUAUCUGCAGGGGCUUCCACGCGCCUUCCCAGAGGGCACGUGCUGCCGUAUUAAAACUGUCCAUCGUCUUUUUUGGGCGACCGACAAGAGGUCUGAGAGUCGAUGAAGUUGACACGCAUCGUCCUUCAAGAAUGCCUCAUUGCACAGCAACUGCACCAAAGUUUGCGCACUGCUCGGUGCAGUCAAUGAAAGUAAUAGUCUUCUCCCGCAGGGUUUUGGACGAGCAGCUCACAGGGACCACCCUUACUCAA
Phyllopteryx taeniolatus (common seadragon) is the source of this 1217-nucleotide long non-coding RNA. RefSeq lists it as uncharacterized. The record is from RefSeq and is a predicted model, not a curated record. The transcript is spliced from 5 exons. Lineage: Eukaryota; Metazoa; Chordata; Actinopteri; Syngnathiformes; Syngnathidae.